Molecule: long non-coding RNA, 929 nt
Filed under: Ursus maritimus (polar bear)
Lineage: Eukaryota; Metazoa; Chordata; Mammalia; Carnivora; Ursidae
Description: lncRNA (ENSUMAG00000011623.1)
Source: RNAcentral
GAACUUUCUGCUGUUCAUAAGGCACCGGCUCUCUGUCGCGCUGUUAUCGCAGCCCAGGCAGGCUAAGGUAGGGAAGCGCACGGCCGUGCUGGCACAGCGCGCAGACCAGUAAUUCCAGUAUCUGAGAUCUCAGCGGACCAACUGUGGGGUGACAUGGCCCAGGGGAAUAAUUACACGCAGACCAGCAACGGGGUCGCAGACGAAUCACCCAACAUGCUGGUGUACAGAAAGCACUCUGCGUUUACAUGUGGGCACGUGGCCACUGCAGUGAUGGCCCCAUUUCCUAGGCUCCCGAGACCUGCGAGGCAUGGCCGUGGGAUGCCUUCUGGCCGAUGAGAUGUAAGCAGAAGAGAUGUGGAUAGCAUCUGAGACAUGCCCUUUAAAAAGAAGGAUCUACCUUUCUCUUUCCCCUUUCUCCUUCUUGCCGGCUGGCAUCCAGUUGUCUUGGCCAUGAAAUGGAAGGUGACGCGUGUGGAUGGCAGAACAACAAACGGGAGUGGACCUGGGUCCCUGAUCACUGUAGCGUCAGCACGCUGACUGGACUUGCCUGCGUAAACUUUCAUGUGAGAGGAAAUCAACGUAUGUCUUCUUCUUCUACUGUUUGCAAGAUUUUAUUUUUUUUAAAGCAGUCUUAGAGAUUUCCCAAUUAGCCCCUGCCCCUACAUAGAGUCCCCUAUUACCAACGGGAUUCCCCAGAGCAGUACAUUUGUUACCAAGGACGGGCCUGCACUGACACGUCGUGAUCUCCCAGAGUCCACAGUGUGCUGUAGGGUUCAGUCCUGGGGCGACACCUUCUGUGGGUCUGGACAAACACGUCAUGAUGUGCAUCUAUCGUUAUUAUUUGUACAGAGUUUUUUCGUUGCCUUUCUUCUCUUCAAGAUAUUGUGAUUUUCUGUCAGUUGCAAUAAACCCAAAUUCUAACCAAUUCA